RNAcentral lists this ribosomal RNA (404 nucleotides) under uncultured bacterium. RNAcentral's name for it is "bacterial SSU rRNA". It matches the Rfam family "Bacterial small subunit ribosomal RNA", at positions 355 to 776 of the family's 1533-position model. The record is from RNAcentral.
UGGGGAAUAUUGGACAAUGGGGGAAACCCUGAUCCAGCGAUGCCGCGUGAGUGAUGAAGGCCCUAGGGUUGUAAAGCUCUUUUGACAGGGACGAUGAUGACGGUACCUGUAGAAUAAGCACCGGCUAACUCUGUGCCAGCAGCCGCGGUAAUACAGAGGGUGCUAGCGUUGUUCGGAAUUACUGGGCGUAAAGGGCGCGUAGGCGGUUAUGUAAGUCAGAUGUUAAAGACCUGGGCUUAACCUGGGGGAUGCCUUUGAUACUGCAUAGCUAGAGUGCAGGAGAGGAGAGUGGAAUUUCCGGUGUAGAGGUGAAAUUCGUAGAUAUCGGAAGGAACACCAGUGGCGAAGGCGACUCUCUGGACUGCUACUGACGCUGAGGCGCGAAAGCGUGGGGAGCAAACAGG